Molecule: non-coding RNA, 110 nt
Organism: Acanthosepion pharaonis
Lineage: Eukaryota; Metazoa; Mollusca; Cephalopoda; Sepiida; Sepiidae
Source: the annotation of a GenBank genome assembly
GGCCAUAUCACGUUGACACACCAAUUCUCAUACAAUCAUCAAAAUUAAGCAACUUCAAGUCUGGUCAGUACCUAGAUGGGUGACCACUUAGGAAUACCAGGUGUUGUAAG